This 292-nucleotide ribosomal RNA is filed under the name uncultured bacterium. RNAcentral's name for it is "partial 16S ribosomal RNA". It matches the Rfam family "Bacterial small subunit ribosomal RNA", at positions 505 to 796 of the family's 1533-position model. The record is from RNAcentral.
GUGCCAGCAGCCGCGGUAAGACGGAGGGGGCAAGCGUUGUCCGGAAUUACUGGGCGUAAAGCGCUCGUAGGCGGUCAGCUACGGCGGCGGUGAAAGCUCCCGGCUCAACUGGGAGAGGCCCGCCGCAACGGGUUGACUCGAGGGUGGUAGAGGCAGAUGGAAUUCCUGGUGUAGCGGUGAAAUGCGUAGAGAUCAGGAGGAACACCCAUGGCGAAGGCAGUCUGCUGGGCCACACCUGACGCUGAGGAGCGAAAGCUAGGGGAGCGAACGGGAUUAGAAACCCGCGUAGUCC